RNAcentral lists this transfer RNA (96 nucleotides) under Bradyrhizobium sp. ISRA435. RNAcentral's name for it is "tRNA-Pro". Lineage: Bacteria; Pseudomonadati; Pseudomonadota; Alphaproteobacteria; Hyphomicrobiales; Nitrobacteraceae. The record is from RNAcentral. RNAcentral also lists the same sequence under 3 other names.
AGGAGCGUAUCAGAUCAAGAAAAUUCAAUAACUUAGAAAAUAAUCGCUGCGUUCGGGACGCAGGGGUCGCAGGUUCGAAUCCUGCCACUCCGACCA